GACGAACGCUGGCGGCGUGCUUAACACAUGCAAGUCGAACGGAAAGGCCCUGCUUUUGUGGGGUGCUCGAGUGGCGAACGGGUGAGUAACACGUGAGUAACCUGCCCUUGACUUUGGGAUAACUUCAGGAAACUGGGGCUAAUACCGGAUAGGAGCUCCUGCUGCAUGGUGGGGGUUGGAAAGUUUCGGCGGUUGGGGAUGGACUCGCGGCUUAUCAGCUUGUUGGUGGGGUAGUGGCUUACCAAGGCUUUGACGGGUAGCCGGCCUGAGAGGGUGACCGGCCACAUUGGGACUGAGAUACGGCCCAGACUCCUACGGGAGGCAGCAGUGGGGAAUAUUGCACAAUGGGCGGAAGCCUGAUGCAGCAACGCCGCGUGCGGGAUGACGGACUUCGGGUUGUAAACCGCUUUAGCCUGUGACGAAGCGUGAGUGACGGUAAUGGGUAAAGAAGCACCGGCUAACUACGUG
This 468-nucleotide ribosomal RNA is filed under the name uncultured bacterium. RNAcentral's name for it is "partial 16S ribosomal RNA". It matches the Rfam family "Bacterial small subunit ribosomal RNA", at positions 28 to 507 of the family's 1533-position model. The record is from RNAcentral.